Molecule: ribosomal RNA, 253 nt
Filed under: uncultured bacterium
Lineage: Bacteria
Description: partial 16S ribosomal RNA
Rfam family: Bacterial small subunit ribosomal RNA
Source: RNAcentral
UACGUAGGGGGCAAGCGUUGUCCGGAUUUAUUGGGCGUAAAGAGCGUGUAGGCGGCUAGGUAGGUCCGUUGUGAAAACUCGAGGCUCAACCUCGAGACGCCGGUGGAAACCAUCUAGCUAGAGUCCGGAAGAGGAGAGUGGAAUUCCUGGUGUAGCGGUGAAAUGCGCAGAUAUCAGGAAGAACACCCGUGGCGAAGGCGGCUCUCUGGGCAACAACUGACGCUGAGGAGCGAAAGCGUGGGGAGCGAACAGG